AGAGUUUGAUCAUGGCUCAGAACGAACGCUGGCGGCAGGCUUAACACAUGCAAGUCGAACGCACCUUCGGGUGAGUGGCAGACGGGUGAGUAACGCGUGGGAAUCUACCCAUCCCUACGGAACAACUCCGGGAAACUGGAGCUAAUACCGUAUACGCCCUUUGGGGGAAAGAUUUAUCGGGGAUGGAUGAGCCCGCGUUGGAUUAGCUAGUUGGUGGGGUAAAGGCCUACCAAGGCGACGAUCCAUAGCUGGUCUGAGAGGAUGAUCAGCCACAUUGGGACUGAGACACGGCCCAAACUCCUACGGGAGGCAGCAGUGGGGAAUAUUGGACAAUGGGCGCAAGCCUGAUCCAGCCGUGCCGCGUGUGUGAUGAAGGCCUUAGGGUUGUAAAGCACUUUCACCGGAGAAGAUAAUGACGGUAUCCGGAGAAGAAGCCCCGGCUAACUUCGUGCCAGCAGCCGCGGUAAUACGAAGGGGGCUAGCGUUGUUCGGAAUUACUGGGCGUAAAGCGCACGUAGGCGGAUAUUUAAGUCAGGGGUGAAAUCCCGCAGCUCAACUGCGGAACUGCCUUUGAUACUGGGUAUCUUGAGUAUGGAAGAGGUAAGUGGAAUUGCGAGUGUAGAGGUGAAAUUCGUAGAUAUUCGCAGGAACACCAGUGGCGAAGGCGGCUUACUGGUCCAUAACUGACGCUGAGGUGCGAAAGCGUGGGGAGCAAACAGGAUUAGAUACCCUAGUAGUCC
This 740-nucleotide ribosomal RNA is filed under the name uncultured bacterium. Its description in RNAcentral is "bacterial SSU rRNA". It matches the Rfam family "Bacterial small subunit ribosomal RNA", at positions 8 to 796 of the family's 1533-position model. The record is from RNAcentral.